GAUGAAGAACGCAGCGAAAUGCGAUAAGUAAUGUGAAUUGCAGAAUUCAGUGAAUCAUCGAAUCUUUGAACGCACAUUGCGCCCGCCAGUAUUCUGGCGGGCAUGCCUGUUCGAGCGUCAUUUCAACCAUCAAGCCCCAGGCUUGUGUUGGGGACCUGCGGCUGCCACAGGCCCUGAAAACCAGUGGCGGGCUCGCUGUCACACCGGGCGUAGUAGAUUUUAUCUCGCUCAGGGCGUGCUGCGGGUUCCGGCCGUUAAAAAGCCUUUUUUACCCAAGGUUGACCUCGGAUCAGGUAGGAAGACCCGCUGAACUUAAGCAUAUCAAUAAGCGGAGGA
This 336-nucleotide unclassified non-coding RNA is filed under the name soil metagenome. RNAcentral describes it as "partial contains 5.8S ribosomal RNA, internal transcribed spacer 2, and large subunit ribosomal RNA". The stretch from base 1 to 120 matches the Rfam family "5.8S ribosomal RNA", at positions 35 to 154 of the family's 154-position model. The record is from RNAcentral.